Molecule: ribosomal RNA, 261 nt
Filed under: uncultured archaeon
Lineage: Archaea
Description: partial 16S ribosomal RNA
Rfam family: Archaeal small subunit ribosomal RNA
Source: RNAcentral
CAGCCGUAAACAAUGUGCGUUAGGUGUGUCGGUAACCACACGUUACUGAUGCGCCGAAGAGAAAUCGUGAAACGCACCACCUGGGAAGUACGGUCGCAAGGCUGAAACUUAAAGGAAUUGGCGGGGGAGCACCACAACAGGUGGAGCCUGCGGUUUAAUUGGACUCAACGCCGGGAAGCUCACCGGAUAGGACAGCAGAAUGAUUGCCGGGCUGAAGACCCUGCAUGACUAGCUGAGAGGUGGUGCAUGGCGUCAGUGACU